RNAcentral lists this ribosomal RNA (497 nucleotides) under uncultured bacterium. RNAcentral's name for it is "partial 16S ribosomal RNA". It matches the Rfam family "Bacterial small subunit ribosomal RNA", at positions 28 to 507 of the family's 1533-position model. The record is from RNAcentral.
GAUGAACGCUGGCGGCGUGCCUAAUACAUGCAAGUCGAGCGAACGGACGAGAAGCUUGCUUCUCUGAUGUUAGCGGCGGACGGGUGAGUAACACGUGGAUAACCUACCUAUAAGACUGGGAUAACUUCGGGAAACCGGAGCUCAUACCGGACGAUAUUUUGAACCGCAUGGUUCAAAAGUGAAAGACGGUCUUGCUGUCACUUAUAGAUGGAUCCGCGCUGCAUUAGCUAGUUGGUAAGGUAACGGCUUACCAAGGCAACGAUGCAUAGCCGACCUGAGAGGGUGAUCGGCCACACUGGAACUGAGACACGGUCCAGACUCCUACGGGAGGCAGCAGUAGGGAAUCUUCCGCAAUGGGCGAAAGCCUGACGGAGCAACGCCGCGUGAGUGAUGAAGGUCUUCGGAUCGUAAAACUCUGUUAUUAGGGAAGAACAUAUGUGUAAGUAACUGUGCACAUCUUGACGGUACCUAAUCAGAAAGCCACGGCUAACUACGUG